RNAcentral lists this ribosomal RNA (538 nucleotides) under uncultured Hymenobacter sp. RNAcentral's name for it is "bacterial SSU rRNA". It matches the Rfam family "Bacterial small subunit ribosomal RNA", at positions 96 to 633 of the family's 1533-position model. Lineage: Bacteria; Pseudomonadati; Bacteroidota; Cytophagia; Cytophagales; Hymenobacteraceae. The record is from RNAcentral.
UGGCGCACGGGUGCGUAACGCGUAACCAACCUACCCACAACUGGGGGAUAGCCCGCCGAAAGGCGGAUUAAUACCGCAUAAACUAAGGACACGGCAUCGUGGUUUUAGUAAAGAUUUAUUGGUUGUGGAUGGGGUUGCGUAGCAUUAGCUAGAUGGCGGGGUAACGGCCCACCAUGGCGACGAUGCUUAGGGGACCUGAGAGGGUGAUCCCCCACACUGGCACUGAGAUACGGGCCAGACUCCUACGGGAGGCAGCAGUAGGGAAUAUUGGGCAAUGGGCGAGAGCCUGACCCAGCCAUGCCGCGUGCCGGAUGAAGGCCUUCUGGGUUGUAAACGGCUUUUCUCAGGGAAGAAAAAGGGGAUGCGUCCCACACUGACGGUACCUGAGGAAUAAGCACCGGCUAACUCCGUGCCAGCAGCCGCGGUAAUACGGAGGGUGCAAGCGUUGUCCGGAUUUAUUGGGUUUAAAGGGUGCGUAGGUGGCCCGUUAAGUCCGGGGUGAAAGCCCACAGCUCAACUGUGGAACUGCCCUGGAUAC